RNAcentral lists this ribosomal RNA (482 nucleotides) under uncultured bacterium. RNAcentral describes it as "SSU rRNA". It matches the Rfam family "Bacterial small subunit ribosomal RNA", at positions 26 to 523 of the family's 1533-position model. The record is from RNAcentral.
AGGACGAACGCUGGCGGCGUGCUUAACACAUGCAAGUCGAGCGGUAAGGCCCUUUCGGGGGUACACGAGCGGCGAACGGGUGAGUAACACGUGGGUGACCUGCCCUUAGCUCUGGGAUAAGCCUGGGAAACUGGGUCUAAUACCGGAUAUGACCUCGCGAUGCAUGUCGUGGGGUGGAAAGCCUUGUGCGGCUAGGGAUGGGCCCGCGGCCUAUCAGCUUGUUGGUGGGGUGAUGGCCUACCAAGGCGACGACGGGUAGCCGGCCUGAGAGGGCGACCGGCCACACUGGGACUGAGACACGGCCCAGACUCCUACGGGAGGCAGCAGUGGGGAAUCUUGCGCAAUGGGCGAAAGCCUGACGCAGCGACGCCGCGUGAGGGAUGACGGCCUUCGGGUUGUAAACCUCUUUCAGCCCUGACGAAGCGAAGUGACGGUAGGGCGAGAAGAAGCACCGGCCAACUACGCGCCAGCAGCCGCGGUAA